Daphnia magna is the source of this 261-nucleotide long non-coding RNA. RefSeq lists it as uncharacterized. Lineage: Eukaryota; Metazoa; Arthropoda; Branchiopoda; Diplostraca; Daphniidae. The record is from RefSeq and is a predicted model, not a curated record. The transcript is spliced from 3 exons.
UGACCAUCCGAUGAGAAUGGUCUUCUUUUGUUUCUAUUUGCUACUUUUAAUAGUGAACACGGUUUCAACAAAUCCACCAGCUUUUACUAAAUCGCCGAAUGAAAAGCAACGAGCAUUUUCUAAAGGACACCCACUCAAGAUUGGAAUUAUUAACAUUCCUCCGUACGUAUUGGUGCAAUACGAUGCUGGAGGCAAUAUCAGUUACGUCGAAGGUUUCGUUCCUGAAAUUAUUUCGUGGAUGGCAGAAAAAUACGAUUUUAC